Non-coding RNA from Prunus avium (sweet cherry), 781 nucleotides. Lineage: Eukaryota; Viridiplantae; Streptophyta; Magnoliopsida; Rosales; Rosaceae. The record is from RefSeq and is a predicted model, not a curated record.
ACAAAAUCGUUCAAAAAUGGUAGUGGAUAGCAUUUCUUCAAAACAAAGUCAUCCCCAUCUAAUUUCUCUCUCUCUCUCCUCUCUCUCUCUCUCAAACAUUAUUACCCAGUUACAAACACACUCUUUUCAUGACAAUUAGGAAUUCCCUUUCAUCUUUAAACCAACCCAAAGAAUACCAAAACGAAAUAGCUAACGUUUUCAGCUCAAAUGGGCUUUAAAGCCAUCGCGUGUGAUAUGAGAAAAACGUACGUCGGCAGAUUCACAGGAAUGCCUUCACGAUGUAGUUGCUGUCUGAAACCGAAAGGGUCUCCCAGAAUUCAUCUGCAAAAUCAGAUUCAGUUCAUAUUUCCUUCUUCAGGUGCCCUGAUAUCUGGCUCAGCAGUCUGCUGUUUUAUGAGAUAGAGCAAGUCACUCAUUCCUGCUGUUUGUGUCGGAGACAACAUAAAAAGGCAAUUUUAUGAUAAGACAGUAUCAAAAAGCUUUUGCAAUAGGCACCAAUACUAGGUAAUUUCUUUCAAGGAAUGUGAUUUUGUUUGCUUUCUUUGCAGGACAAAUGGUCGGUGGAAGCUAAACUUAAAUGCUGUAUUAUUAGGGGGAAGAAGCAGAAGCAGGACAAGUCCACAAAAUCAAAAGAGAGGACCAAAAUCAACCAAAUUUUACAUUGCUAGAUUUUACAUUUGAGUCAAGUCACUCAGGUGGAAACUACGAUUGAUGAAAGAAACAAUCUCUUCUACACAACUUCUUGGCAAAUCUAAAACACUAAAUCGAGGUGUUUUUACAA